AUGACCGAAACGAAAGGAAUCGAACAAGUCCGCCAGUGUUUUGAGACAGGCGUUGUUGCCCAUCUGUCACAUAUGUUUCUUAUGUGUUUUUCAGCGUUUGUUGCUUAUCAUGUCAGAGGAAAAUAUCUCGGAGCCCAAGCUGUUGAAUCUAUUCAUUUUUAAUGCCAAUUACGGCCAGAAGGAAGGCCAGGAACAUGAAAAAAUAUUGUUUUAUCAUCCCAUUUCUCAAAAUAUUGACACACAAGUUCGAAACAUAGGACUUGCAGAAGCCAUCACCCGCUUUUCAAGUAAUUUCAAGAAAGAUGGAGACUGUGACUGUGUUCACACAGAAGA
Molecule: long non-coding RNA, 333 nt
Organism: Macrobrachium nipponense
Lineage: Eukaryota; Metazoa; Arthropoda; Malacostraca; Decapoda; Palaemonidae
Exons: 3
Source: RefSeq, a predicted model, not a curated record